CAUAAAAAGAGUUUCUUCUAUUUGUGAGAGGAAACAAACACAUAGAGAUAUGAAAAUGAGUUCAAGAGAGUUCUGAAUCUGAGGGUGAGAACUGGGAAGCACACGGAUCGGUGACGUGGCAACACAAGAACCGAACUCUUCAGCAACUCUCUCUCUAUCUCCGAACUACAAUUCAUAAUUCUGCAGCAGCUCCUCUCAGCUACCGCUCAAUACUGCUCAUAAUUUCUCAGCUACCUCUCACAUCUUCUCAAUCUUCUCUCGUUAUAUAUGUAUCCUGCUGGCGCCACGGCUUCUUCUCCAACAUUCUUCUUCGUUAUCUUUGCCUACAUCACCGAUCCAUUUAUUAGCUGCAGACCCACACACACAAGCAGAUCACAAAGAUGGAUUCUCGAUUGGAAUCAAACAUAUGCUAAAGCUCUUGCUGUUGAAGAUAAGAAAUAUAAUGUUGAUGUCGAAUUGGUAAGAAGGAAACACAAAUUAGAAUCUAUGACUUUAAUAUGUUUGUUUUAAUGAUAGCAUUGUUGGAUAUCUUGGCAGUUGGCAAACAACAAUGGAACUCAACCCCUUUUUUUUU
Quercus lobata is the source of this 574-nucleotide long non-coding RNA. RefSeq lists it as uncharacterized. The transcript has 3 exons. The record is from RefSeq and is a predicted model, not a curated record. NCBI's taxonomy places the organism in Eukaryota, Viridiplantae, Streptophyta, Magnoliopsida, Fagales, Fagaceae.